GAGCGCCGUAGCAAUACGGAGCGGCAGACGGGAGAGUAACACGUGGGAACGUGCCCUUCAGUUCGGAACAACCCCAGGGAAACUUGGGCUAAUACCGGAUACGUCCGUAAGGAGAAAGAUUUAUCGCUGAAGGAUCGGCCCGCGUCUGAUUAGCUAGUUGGUGAGGUAAUGGCUCACCAAGGCAACGAUCAGUAGCCGGUCUGAGAGGACGGUCGGCCACACUGGAACUGAGACACGGUCCAGACUCCUACGGGAGGCAGCAGUGGGGAAUUUUUCGCAAUGGGGGCAACCCUGACGAAGCAACGCCGCGUGGGUGAUGAAGUAUCUCGGUACGUAAAACCCUUUCGACAGGGAAGAAACCGCAAGGUUGACGGUACCCGUAGAAGAAGCCCCGGCUAACUCCGUG
RNAcentral lists this ribosomal RNA (406 nucleotides) under uncultured bacterium. Its description in RNAcentral is "bacterial SSU rRNA". It matches the Rfam family "Bacterial small subunit ribosomal RNA", at positions 64 to 507 of the family's 1533-position model. The record is from RNAcentral.